Molecule: long non-coding RNA, 621 nt
Organism: Mustela erminea (ermine)
Lineage: Eukaryota; Metazoa; Chordata; Mammalia; Carnivora; Mustelidae
Exons: 3
Source: RefSeq, a predicted model, not a curated record
UUGGUCCGAUUGGGGCCACGGACGUUCCCGAUUGGCAGGGGCGGAGACGAGGCCGCACCCCCGCGGGGUGAGAGGCGGAUGGCGUGGAAGAGGAACGCGGAGGAACCUGGGGAGCUUAAGCCAAGAGGGACGUGGCGCUCUGCGACGCUGGCGGGGAAGCCGCGCCCCUUCCUUCUCUAGCUUUCAUGGAGAAUCUUGCGAAGCAGGAUUUGGGCGGGAUCUCACAGAACAUCAACUGGCCAAGUUCUUCGUUGUCUUCAAAAGAGGAGAGAGGGAGGCAGGAGUAUAUACUGACAAGAGACAAGUGGCCUGGCCUUAUCUGAUGCUGAUGUUCUGUGAAAUAGCUCAUGUUCAGCAGAAGACCAUCAAGUCCUACCUGUGAGUGCCAAGCCGGCUCUUAGCAACACUGAGCUCAGCCCAGCAACUGAUAGCACCAGGCCAGUUCUUGGAUGUCAGGGACUGUAUUUUUUUGGUUUUUGGUUUUUUUAAAUUAAAGUGAUAUAGAAGUAGUGUUAGCUUAUUUGGUCAGUAAACCUCCUUAGGUUUAGGAAAAACAAAUCCCAAGUAGAACAAAAUGUACAUUUAUUUUUUACCUAACACUGAUAAAUUAGAGAAAAGAUA